RNAcentral lists this non-coding RNA (119 nucleotides) under Paenibacillus polymyxa. RNAcentral's name for it is "ylbH leader". The stretch from base 31 to 119 matches the Rfam family "ylbH leader". Rfam says of the family: This family is a putative regulatory RNA structure that is found upstream of the ylbH gene in B. subtilis and related low GC Gram-positive bacteria. The record is from RNAcentral. Lineage: Bacteria; Bacillati; Bacillota; Bacilli; Caryophanales; Paenibacillaceae.
GAGCUGCUAUAAAGCAGCUUCUUUUUAUGCAAAAAAAACAGGCGCUCUACGAAAGAGCGCCGAAUGGGAGAGGAGAAACCGGACGAAGAGCUUAUGGGGAAACGUAAGUCUUCUCCGCG